This 301-nucleotide ribosomal RNA is filed under the name uncultured bacterium. RNAcentral's name for it is "partial 16S ribosomal RNA". It matches the Rfam family "Bacterial small subunit ribosomal RNA", at positions 509 to 807 of the family's 1533-position model. The record is from RNAcentral.
CAGCCGCCACGGGAAAACGGAGGGAGCUAGCGUUGUUCGGAAUUACUGGGCGUAAAGCGCGCGUAGGCGGUUACUCAAGUCAGAGGUGAAAGCCCGGGGCUCAACCCCGGAACUGCCUUUGAAACUAGGUGACUAGAAUCUUGGAGAGGUCAGUGGAAUUCCGAGUGUAGAGGUGAAAUUCGUAGAUAUUCGGAAGAACACCAGUGGCGAAGGCGACUGACUGGACAAGUAUUGACGCUGAGGUGCGAAAGCGUGGGGAGCAAACAGGAUUAGAUACCCGGGUAGUCCCUGUCUCUUAUAC